RNAcentral lists this long non-coding RNA (1187 nucleotides) under Anser cygnoides (Swan goose). RNAcentral's name for it is "lncRNA (ENSACDG00005014976.1)". The record is from RNAcentral. Lineage: Eukaryota; Metazoa; Chordata; Aves; Anseriformes; Anatidae.
CAUGGUGUGGGUCCUGUCUACAGCUCUCCAGGAAGGCAGCAAGAGAGAGGAAAGCUCGAUGCAGACAUGCAUGCCCUUCACAUGCUGCUGAUGGCAUAAUUUACCCGGCAGCUGUCACAGCUGUUGCCCCUUAGCCCCAAAUACCUGGGCUGGCAACGUCUGUGUGGGGGGAGCUGGGGCCAGAGCUUUGGGGCAGCUGCGUCUGAGCUCUGGGCUGGGAAAGCUGCGCCUUUGCUCCGUGCUCAGCGCGCUGGGGUUACGGCUCUGCAGGGAAGAACAAGCUCCCAGGGCAAAGCUGCCGCGUGGUUUGUGCUGCCCAACCUUUGGAGUCCCAGGGGACUCCUUGGAGAGGCUGCAUGCAGCGUUCCUGGCUUUCAGGCUUUGAGAUUAUUAUGUGGUGGUAGUUCACAGGCUCUUCAGAAUGGCUGUGGAAGAUCCAGCCGCUUAGGAACACGCGUCACGAGACGUUCUGGCACUGUCAGGGUCCCAGGUAGGUGCUGCAGGCUUCCCACUGUUCGGCUUUGGUGAGCUGUGUGUAGGCACGCCAAAGUAACAGCCAGGGUGCAGAUAUUUGAUGUGGGUUUCUGCACCGACAGCUGAUCCAAGUGUGUUGAGAUAAAAGGGGAGGUUACCUCUGCCUGUCCUGAAACGGCUCUCGUAUCUGGUUUUAUACGAGGGGUUCUCUGUGGUCUCUGGGAUCGUUUUGCAGGCGUGGUGUGUGAAAUUCAUAAAGAGUUCCACAGGGAGUGCUGAAAGUGCUUUCCACACCGCUGCCAGUGGUGCGGGAGUGCCCAGCACCUGGGAACGUGCUGAGUUCUCUGCGUGCCAGACCGGCUGUGUGCCAGGCUAAUGUGAAAUGGUGCAGCUCUGCCCCUUGCAACCAUGCCUGUGACGGUCUGACUUGCCUCUUGCUAAACCAGAGGACAAAAUACAAAACAGCGCAAGGUUUCUCAAGCCAUGCGCCCCAGUUCUUCCCUAGAAGUGCUAGAAACACCCUGAAGUUUGUCUGGAAAAUCUUGCUGCUGCUGACUCCAUGUGGGAGUGAUGCUGCUGGGGAGGCAGCAGAGUAAAAUCUGUAAAUAACACUGUGUUUUUAUGCAGUAUAUAUUAUCAGAACAUGCAAAAUAUUUAUUAUGUAAUAUUCUUACUAUAUAUUUAUUAUAUUAUUAAAAUUACUUAGCUUGCUU